AUGGCCAAACAGAUGGGCGAGUUGAAAAAUUCCACUACCGCAAAAUCCAAGAAUAGCAAAGGGGUUCACUUGGAGGUUUCUUUUGAAGCAGUUGACCCUCCAGCCAUCUCACUGUGCCUAGUCAGCUGCGUUGAUCAGACCGGGGAUCGCUUGGCAGCACAGCCUCGUAUACUUGGUGUAACUGGAGGCUUUGUACUGCUGGCUAUCACCUUCUCGGACAGUGUCAACUGUUACUUGCGGUUCAUCGACUAUUUUGUUUACAAAGCAGGGCCCGAUUUCGCCUCUCUUCAUCUUAUUGCAAGGCCAUAG
This 309-nucleotide ribosomal RNA is filed under the name Triticum aestivum (bread wheat). RNAcentral describes it as "partial small subunit ribosomal RNA". Lineage: Eukaryota; Viridiplantae; Streptophyta; Magnoliopsida; Poales; Poaceae. The record is from RNAcentral.